ACAUGGACAACAGACCGCUGCUCUUCAUCCUGUGGGUGGCGCUGUCCUGCACGUUCACCACCUCCUCUGCCAAUACAUCAGCUGCACCCACUGCAACCACCAACAACGUGACAUCACCGAUGACACACACCGUGACAUCACCGAUGACACACACCGUGACAUCACCGAUGACACACAACGUGACAUCACCGAUGACACACACCGUGACAUCACCGAUGACACACAACGUGACAUCACCGAUGACACACACCGUGACAUCACCGAUGACACACAACGUGACAUCAGCGAUGACACACAACGUGACAUCAGCGAUGACACACACCGUGACAUCACCGAUGACACACAACGUGACAUCACAGACGACACACACCGUGACAUCCCCGACGACACACAACAUGACAUCACCGACGACACACAACAUGACAUCACCGAUGACACACAACAUGACAUCAGCUCCCCAACUGACUGUUAACACCACAGUGGAAACUCUUGAUACUCCUGUUUCUAAUACGGGAUGUGGGACCGAGCAGCUCUGCGCCUCCGAGCCGUCCAACUGCGACCCGUCCACAGGAGCGUCUUGUUUCUUUUUUUCUGCCAAACAGCAGCCGGGCAGUCAGAACCUUGAGUUUUCCCUCUCAGGAGAGUCCGAAGGCUACAUCGCUGCCACCUUGUCACCUGACGCCACAUUGGGAGAUAACGACCCAACCUACAUCUGUGCAAACAACAACAGUUUUGUUCAAUUCUUCAGCACCGUCCUGGUCAAUGGCUCGCUGACCCAGACAGAGCUGAGCGUGAACUCUGUGAAGGGAAAGGUCAACGGAAAGAAGAUCCAGUGCACGUUUACCGCCACUGUUCCAAACUCAGCAACUAGACGACCUAGAGGAGCACCAACGGAUGCAGCAAUCUUAAUCUCCACUGGAGCUUUCAACAACAAUUCUGGGACUCUGGGAUCCCCGACCGCUAAAUUUAGCAGCGACGUUGUAAACCUGUCAAAUCCCAACACCACCGUCACCAAUCAGCUUUCCACCAACACCACCAGCUCCCCCACUACGGCUCACGCCAUCACGUUCCAGCAAACCCUGAUGCAGGUUCUGCUGAUCUCUGUGGGCGCGCUCAGUCUGGCCCUGGUUUGAGGAAAACCAAACCUCCACGCUUCAAGAAAAGAAAUCCCCAACUUUCCUUUCCAUUUACUGUAUAUAUGCUACUUAAUAUUCAUCUAAAACAAGACACUGUACAUUCCAGAUGAUUAGGAUCAUGAAGAAUUGUAUAUCUACUCACUUCAAGUGAAUGUAGGCUGGAUUGUGGGAGGUCACGUCUGUUGUAGAAGCUGACCUUCACCUACAGAGGUCUCACUCCCCGACAACCUCCGGAGGCGUCACACUCACCCGUUUCUCAGGAACAAUGUUGUUCUCUACGUCUGUCACACACAAUGAAGCCAGAAGGUGGCAGAUGUGUGCUGUUAGUCUCUUUACUUGUAAAUGUCUGUACUGUACAUGAUUAAAUCAUGUUUUUAAAAUGAAGCAGAAUGAAAAUGAAUGUCUGUGUGUGUGCGUGCGCACAAAGGCACAUGCAAAUGAGCCGUUGCAGAUAAAGAACACUACAUAUGAUAAAAAAUAUUGUUAAUUAUUUUUUUAGCAUAUUGCAUUAUGUAACGAAGGAGUUUAUUUUUCAAAUAAACAUUAAAUUUUAACGGAUUGUGACUGUGCUGAUGUUUGGUCUGAAUCUGAAACUGAACAGGUUGUCCAAUCACCUGCCUGAUCUUCACACAAUAUACACACAUACAUAUACGUGUAUAUAUAUUUAGCUAAAUAGAGGCCAAUAUAUAAUCAAUAAUAAGCCAGACACAGAAGUAUCCAACAAAAUGUGUAGUAUGGUGCCAGACGAUUGGACUACUGUACAUUAUAAUAUAGAUUAAUAUUGUAAAUAAGAUCUAUUGACAGAAGUGAACAAACUUAAUAAAUGAGAUGCAAACAGUGAAAUAUCAUUUUGGAUGAAUACACAUAUGAAUAUAAGGCCUGAGUGAUAUGGCCUAUAAAGAACUUGCAAUAAACAAUAAAUACCUCCAUAUUUUGAAAAAUCUCCACUUCAAUCAUUGAUGAUUCAAGCAGUCGCUGUAACAUAAUGAAACAUGAGAACUUUAUUAAUGGUUUGCAUUGGAACAAUUUAAAACUUGCAUGAAAAUCCAAAACAGCAAAUGAGAGUUGUCAGUGCUGUAACUCUAACCCUGAUUAUUUAAACACUAUAUAAAAUAUUUUAAAAAACACAAAUAUGACAAUAUAAGAACUGCAAAAUUAUAUAUUAUGUUCAUUUUUGUGUUUGUGUGCAAUUAGUUGCCCAUUAUUGUUGACAAAUUGCAGCAUGGCACUAAUAUUAUGUACAUUUUUUAAUCUUAUUCCCUUCAUGUGUAUGGUUUUAUGGUUCUUAUAAUGUUGUAUUUGUGUGACUGAUGCUCUCUCACAGAUGAAUAAAGUUAUUUGAAUUGAACUGUUUUGCAUUAGCUUGACGAGGUUCCGCUCGUCUGACGCUGUAACUGUACCUGAGACAUUAUUGAUUAUGAAAAGUAACUGAGUACAUUUACAGAUUCUACACAAACUGAACAUUAGUAGAACUGUUGAAUUAGCUUUAGCUUUAGCUCGGUGUCUGUAGCUACUUUAGCUGGAGCUUGGUCUGGUGUUCAAAGUGCCGUGCCUAGCCUAGCCUAGCCUAGCUAACGCUAGCUCAGCUUGGAGGCUGGAGGACACGGUUGUAUUUAGCUACAUUAGCUCGCAGCUAACAGCUGAUAGCCACCGUGAGCAGGGUUUUGGUUCACGUGUCGUUGAAAAGACGUUUAGAGUAAAAGCGGCUCUAAAGUUUAGACGUCGACUUCUCAAGUGAGUCGACCAUUCGGAUCUCACCGGUCACUGUUCCGGGAUGUUUCCGGGAAACUUCCGGUUCUUUCCGGUUCCUUCCGAAACGGAUGUUGAACCGACGACGUUUUCCCCAAAACAAACAUGGUUUACCGGAAGUGACUUUUUUU
Molecule: long non-coding RNA, 3016 nt
Filed under: Scophthalmus maximus (turbot)
Lineage: Eukaryota; Metazoa; Chordata; Actinopteri; Pleuronectiformes; Scophthalmidae
Description: lncRNA (ENSSMAG00000026669.1)
Source: RNAcentral